RNAcentral lists this ribosomal RNA (253 nucleotides) under uncultured bacterium. RNAcentral describes it as "partial 16S ribosomal RNA". It matches the Rfam family "Bacterial small subunit ribosomal RNA", at positions 524 to 776 of the family's 1533-position model. The record is from RNAcentral.
UACGAAGGGGGCUAGCGUUGCUCGGAAUCACUGGGCGUAAAGCGCACGUAGGCGGCUUAUUAAGUCAGGGGUGAAAUCCUGGAGCUCAACUCCAGAACUGCCUUUGAUACUGGGGAUCUUGAGUCCGGGAGAGGUGAGUGGAACUGCGAGUGUAGAGGUGAAAUUCGUAGAUAUUCGCAAGAACACCAGUGGCGAAGGCGGCUCACUGGCCCGGUACUGACGCUGAGGUGCGAAAGCGUGGGGAGCAAACAGG